This 763-nucleotide ribosomal RNA is filed under the name uncultured Streptococcus sp. RNAcentral's name for it is "bacterial SSU rRNA". It matches the Rfam family "Bacterial small subunit ribosomal RNA", at positions 28 to 776 of the family's 1533-position model. The record is from RNAcentral. Lineage: Bacteria; Bacillati; Bacillota; Bacilli; Lactobacillales; Streptococcaceae.
GACGAACGCUGGCGGCGUGCCUAAUACAUGCAAGUAGAACGCUGAAGGAGGAGCUUGCUUCUCUGGAUGAGUUGCGAACGGGUGAGUAACGCGUAGGUAACCUGCCUGGUAGCGGGGGGUAACUAUUGGAAACGAUAGCUAAUACCGCAUAAUAGUAGAUGUUGCAUGACAUUUGCUUAAAAGGUGCAAUUGCAUCACUACCAGAUGGACCUGCGUUGUAUUAGCUAGUUGGUGGGGUAACGGCUCACCAAGGCGACGAUACAUAGCCGACCUGAGAGGGUGAUCGGCCACACUGGGACUGAGACACGGCCCAGACUCCUACGGGAGGCAGCAGUAGGGAAUCUUCGGCAAUGGACGGAAGUCUGACCGAGCAACGCCGCGUGAGUGAAGAAGGUUUUCGGAUCGUAAAGCUCUGUUGUAAGAGAAGAACGAGUGUGAGAGUGGAAAGUUCACACUGUGACGGUAUCUUACCAGAAAGGGACGGCUAACUACGUGCCAGCAGCCGCGGUAAUACGUAGGUCCCGAGCGUUGUCCGGAUUUAUUGGGCGUAAAGCGAGCGCAGGCGGUUAGAUAAGUCUGAAGUUAAAGGCUGUGGCUUAACCAUAGUACGCUUUGGAAACUGUUUAACUUGAGUGCAAGAGGGGAGAGUGGAAUUCCAUGUGUAGCGGUGAAAUGCGUAGAUAUAUGGAGGAACACCGGUGGCGAAAGCGGCUCUCUGGCUUGUAACUGACGCCGAGGCUCGAAAGCGUGGGGAGCAAACAGG